Molecule: ribosomal RNA, 465 nt
Filed under: uncultured bacterium
Lineage: Bacteria
Description: partial 16S ribosomal RNA
Rfam family: Bacterial small subunit ribosomal RNA
Source: RNAcentral
CCUACGGGCGGCAGCAGUGGGGAAUUUUGCUCAAUGCUCGUAAGAGUGACGCAGCGACGCCGCGUGAAUGACGAAGGCCUUCGGGUCGUAAAGUUCUUUCUACAGGGAAGAAAAUGCCUAUAAGUAACUGUGUAUGUAUUGACUUUACCUGUAUAAGCAGCCCCGGCUAAUUCCGUGCCAGCAGCCGCGGUAAUACGGAGGGGGCGUACGUUGUUCGGAGUGACUGGGCGGAAAGAGGACGUAGGUGGUGUUGUAAGUCAUUAGUCAAAGACUAGAGCUCAACUUUAGUAAGGCUAGUGAUACUAUAAUACUAGAGUAUCAGAGAGGUAUGCAGAAUUCCUGGUGUAGCGGUGAAAUGCGGAGAUAUCAGGAGGAAUACCGUUAGCGAAGGCGGCAAUCUGGCUGGAAACUGACGCUGAGGUGCGAAAGCGUGGGUAGCAAACAGGAUUAGAUACCCCAGUAGUC